GCUUAGCCCUUAACACAGACAGCACAAACACAMCGCYSKUCRCCMKMRAAGUAUAAGUAAAAACUAGAAACUCCAAGGACUUGGCGGUGCCCCAAAUCGACCUAGAGGAGCCUGUCCUAUAAUCGAUAAUCCACGUUAUACCUCACCAUUUUUUGAAGCUCAGUCUAUAUACCGCCGUCACCAGCUUACCUCAUGAGAGAAACAAAGUAAGCAAAACAAUUAAAAACUAAUACGUCAGGUCAAGGUGUAGCAUAUAAAAUGGCAGAGAUGGGCUACAUUUUUUAGACAGAAAAUCACGGACGGCACAAUGAAAAACCCUGCCCAAAGGCGGAUUUAGCAGUAAGAUAAAGCAGAAUACUUAUCUUAAACACGCUCUGGGGCGCGCACACACCGCCCGUCAC
Molecule: ribosomal RNA, 401 nt
Filed under: Eumecia anchietae (Western serpentiform skink)
Lineage: Eukaryota; Metazoa; Chordata; Lepidosauria; Squamata; Scincidae
Description: partial 12S ribosomal RNA
Rfam family: Bacterial small subunit ribosomal RNA (bases 46-401)
Source: RNAcentral